AUGUACAGGAAAGGGAAGCACAGUUUGGAACAACAGCAGAGAUAUAUGCCUAUCGAGAAGAACAGGAUUUUGGAAUUGAGAUAGUGAAAGUGAAAGCAAUUGGAAGACAAAGGUUCAAAGUCCUUGAGCUAAGAACACAGUCGGAUGGAAUCCAGCAAGCUAAAGUGCAAAUUCUUCCCGAAUGUGUGUUGCCUUCAACCAUGUCUGCAGUUCAAUUAGAAUCCCUCAAUAAGUGCCAGAUAUUUCCUUCAAAACCUGUCUCAAGGGAAGACCAAUGUUCAUAUAAAUGGUGGCAGAAAUACCAGAAGAGAAAGUUUCAUUGUGCAAAUCUAACUUCAUGGCCUCGCUGGCUGUAUUCAUUAUAUGAUGCUGAGACCUUAAUGGACAGAAUCAAGAAACAGCUACGUGAAUGGGAUGAAAAUCUAAAAGAUGAUUCUCUUCCUUCAAAUCCAAUAGGUAUGAAAAGUUAGUUUCCUGCCUGGAGCCUGGGAUGUCUUGCUAUAAAAACUAGCUUUCUCAUGGAUGCGAUCCAAUUAUAUCUUCUAGAUUUUAAGACUGAUUAAAACAUUUUAAUUCUGAAAAGCAUAAUUUCCUUUGAGCAGUUGAAAAAAAUGAGUAUUUUAAAAUUAAUUGCAAUAAAAUCCUCAUAUUC
This 652-nucleotide small RNA is filed under the name Pan troglodytes (chimpanzee). RNAcentral describes it as "retained intron". The record is from RNAcentral. Lineage: Eukaryota; Metazoa; Chordata; Mammalia; Primates; Hominidae.